RNAcentral lists this ribosomal RNA (493 nucleotides) under uncultured bacterium. RNAcentral describes it as "partial 16S ribosomal RNA". It matches the Rfam family "Bacterial small subunit ribosomal RNA", at positions 29 to 507 of the family's 1533-position model. The record is from RNAcentral.
ACGAACGCUGGCGGCGUGCUUAACACAUGCAAGUCGAACGGUGAAGCGCCUUCCUUUUUGGUGGGUGUGGAUGAGUGGCGAACGGGUGAGUAACACGUGAGUAACCUGCCCCCUUCUUCUGGAUAACCGCAUGAAAGUGUGGCUAAUACGGGAUAUUCUGGGUCUGUCGCAUGAUGGGUCUGGGAAAGAUAUUGUUUCGGUGGGGGAUGGGCUCGCGGCCUAUCAGCUUGUUGGUGGGGUGAUGGCCUACCAAGGCGGUGACGGGUAGCCGGCCUGAGAGGGUGGACGGUCACACUGGGACUGAGACACGGCCCAGACUCCUACGGGAGGCAGCAGUGGGGAAUAUUGCACAAUGGGCGCAAGCCUGAUGCAGCGACGCCGCGUGAGGGAUGGAGGCCUUCGGGUUGUGAGCCUCUUUCGCCAGUGAAGCAGGCCUGCCUCGUUUGUGGGUGGGUUGACGGUAGCUGGAGAAGAAGCGCCGGCUAACUACGUG